GGGGUACUCGAGUGGCGAACGGGUGAGUAACACGUGGGUGAUCUGCCCUGCACUUUGGGAUAAGCCUGGGAAACUGGGUCUAAUACCGAAUAGGACCGCGCUCUUCAUGGGGUGUGGUGGAAAGCUUUUGCGGUGUGGGAUGGGCCCGCGGCCUAUCAGCUUGUUGGUGGRGUAAUGGCCUACCAAGGCGACGACGGGUAGCCGGCCUGAGAGGGUGACCGGCCACACUGGGACUGAGAUACGGCCCAGACUCCUACGGGAGGCAGCAGUGGGGAAUAUUGCACAAUGGGCGCAAGCCUGAUGCAGCGACGCCGCGUGAGGGAUGACGGCCUUCGGGUUGUAAACCUCUUUCAAUAGGGACGAAGCGCAAGUGACGGUACCUAUAGAAGAAGGACCGGCCAACUACGUGCCAGCAGCCGCGGUAAUACGUAGGGUCCGAGCGUUGUCCGGAAUUACUGGGCGUAAAGAGCUCGUAGGUGGUUUGUCGCGUUGUUCGUGAAAACUCACAGCUUAACUGUGGGCGUGCGGGCGAUACGGGCAGACUAGAGUACUGCAGGGGAGACUGGAAUUCCUGGUGUAGCGGUGGAAUGCGCAGAUAUCAGGAGGAACACCGGUGGCGAAGGCGGGUCUCUGGGCAGUAACUGACGCUGAGGAGCGAAAGCGUGGGGAGCGAACAGGAUUAGAUACCCUGGUAGUCCACGCCGUAAACGGUGGGUACUAGGUGUGGGUUUCCUUCCUUGGGAUCCGUGCCGUAGCUAACGCAUUAAGUACCCCGCCUGGGGAGUACGGCCGCAAGGCUAAAACUCAAAGGAAUUGACGGGGGCCCGCACAAGCGGCGGAGCAUGUGGAUUAAUUCGAUGCAACGCGAAGAACCUUACCUGGGUUUGACAUGCACAGGACGCCAGUAGAGAUAUUGGUUCCCUUGUGGCCUGUGUGCAGGUGGUGCAUGGCUGUCGUCAGCUCGUGUCGUGAGAUGUUGGGUUAAGUCCCGCAACGAGCGCAACCCUUGUCUCAUGUUGCCAGCACGUUAUGGUGGGGACUCGUGAGAGACUGCCGGGGUCAACUCGGAGGAAGGUGGGGAUGACGUCAAGUCAUCAUGCCCCUUAUGUCCAGGGCUUCACACAUGCUACAAUGGCCGGUACAAAGGGCUGCGAUGCCGUGAGGUGGAGCGAAUCCUUUUAAAGCCGGUCUCAGUUCGGAUCGGGGUCUGCAACUCGACCCCGUGAAGUCGGAGUCGCUAGUAAUCGCAGAUCAGCAACGCUGCGGUGAAUACGUUCCCGGGCCUNNUACAGUCCNCCCNCCAC
This 1304-nucleotide ribosomal RNA is filed under the name Mycobacterium sp. DWMJ-869A2. RNAcentral's name for it is "bacterial SSU rRNA". It matches the Rfam family "Bacterial small subunit ribosomal RNA", at positions 84 to 1400 of the family's 1533-position model. The record is from RNAcentral. Lineage: Bacteria; Bacillati; Actinomycetota; Actinomycetes; Mycobacteriales; Mycobacteriaceae.